Long non-coding RNA from Mus musculus (house mouse), 2746 nucleotides. RefSeq annotates it as predicted gene, 34845. Lineage: Eukaryota; Metazoa; Chordata; Mammalia; Rodentia; Muridae. The transcript is spliced from 2 exons. The record is from RefSeq and is a predicted model, not a curated record.
UGAGAUCCAGUUGUCAUAGUUUAUAUCCAAGUGUUUCCAUCUUUGCUUAGAUCAGUAGAUCUCACCCUGUGGGUCAUGACCCCUUUGGCAAACCUCUAUGUGUAAAAAUAUUUACAAGUCACAAUGGUAGCAAAGUUACAGUGAUGAAGUAGCAAUGGGAAUGAUUUUAUGGUUGGGGUCACCACAACAUGAGGGACUGUACUAAAGGGUCACAGCACUAGGAAGGUUGAGACCCACUGGUUUAGAUGCUGAAAGGAACGUUUCCUGUCUUACCACUCUCUCUGUUCUUCUUCCCUUUUCUGCCAAGUGUUCCUCACUGUCUACAGGACAUCCAGACACUUACUCCUCACUUCCACUUAUCCACUGCAGAGACUGGAGACUGCCAUUACCCAGGCAGCCACACUCAUGUGACUUCUGCAAAGUUGUCUCCUUUUCCAAGUCCUUCUGUGGUGUCUCACUUCCUACAGAUUAGAUUUUCUGCUGUGUUUCCAAGUGGCAUCAUUCUCUCUCUCUCUCUCUCUCUCUCUCUCUCUCUCUCUCUCUCUCUCUCUCUCUCUCUCUCUCUCUCUCUCUCAUUUGUUUCUCAUUUAACCCUUCAAGGUACUUCCCAAGUCAUUGCUCGAGACCUAUUCUUCUCUCCUUGCUUAACUCAGCAACACCACGUGCCCGGCUGGGCUGCCUCCAGUUGUGGUACCUCUCAUCUCUGUGCACACCUCACUCACUGGACUGAUCGCAAGGCCACAACACAACACUGUGGACUAACUAGAGGGUACCCCUAGAUGUCAUCACCUCAGUUGCACCAAACUGAUAAUCUCUUUCCUACAACUUGCUUCUUUUAGCACUCCUUGCCUCAAUAAAUGACUAUACAUUGCAUUCAUUUUACGUAACAGAAAUCUAAACAUCUGCUUUAUCCCCCCUCCCCUGAGUGACAAAAUUAAGUCCAUUACCAAAUCCUGUCUUCUUUUCUUCCUUCAUAGCAUUUACAUUUACAUUUACAUUUCAUCUCUCUCUCUCCUGGUGUGGUAAACUAGCACUUAACCUGAUUCUCUCCUAGAUGCACAUGGUGCUGUCUGCCUGGUCUCUAUCCCUCUAUCCUCCUCCUUGUCCUAUGGUGAUAUGGCAGUGAGCAAUUCUGAGCUUAUCACUUCCCUGCUUGGAUAGCUUCAGGGCCUUCCCCACCCUCAAGGUAAGACACUGAGUCCGCCAUAGUUGGAAAGCCUUAAAGCCAGAGGAUGGCUUACCUCUCACCUUUCAUUCUCUGUCAACACCAUGAGCUUGAAUGUUCUGUGUCAGUGUUCCUUUGUGAUCUAGGAAUUAGACAUAGGUCCUCCAUUGGCAGAAGCUGUGUGUUACCUCUGGGAACAGUGCAUCUAGGAACCUUGCUGCAUGCUGUAUGUUGCCAUAAUACUGCUUCCAUCCAGCUGGUUGGCAUCAUGCUUACAAGACUGCUCGGCCUCUCUGAACCUGGUUCCAAAUGUGACAAAAUCAUAUUGUCUGAAAAAUGAAGAUUCUUUUCCUGGAAGCCUCCUAGUAGAUUGCCCCAUAUGCAUAAUCUCCUCAUACCCUCAAUCUCCAGCUUGUGCAGAAGAGGGCACUAAUUUGAUAAAUAUAAGAGGAAUGAUGGGUUGAAGCCAGGUAUAUAUAUUUUAGGGCCAAGGGAACUUCCUUUCUCCAUGUUUGGACUCAUAUACAGAUAGACCUCUCUGUAUCAUGUGUCAUGCUUUCUCUGACUUGAUACUGUGUCUGCCACACGCCUUUAGCAAAGGAAUCUCUGGUCACAUGUUGGCUCAUGGAAUUUACUGUAUGCUGCCGGAUUGGCAGAGCUUCUGUGCGUCAUCAAAGAGGGACUGGGAAUCACUGUCAUCUGCAAAAUCUAUUUUCUCUGGACUUAUGGCAUCUGUCAGACUCUUAACUAUUGUGAGCCAUUUUUUUCUCUGCUUGCAUGGGAAGGCUUACUCUAGUCAUGAUAACAACUGGAAGAAACAGACAGCAACUCUUCACAACUCUUCGAUUUGCAAUUAACAGGAAAACAUCCCACGGUUCGUCAUCUUUUGCAUUGUCCUGAGUCUAAGUAUUAAGCUAAGCAGUCUUGGUGGUAAAGACUGAAGCUUGUGACACUGGUGGUUAUAUUGAUAUGAUGCUGAGAUAUUUUCAGCCUCUAACAUUUCCCCAUUAUCUCUGAAAGUUUUCAGUUUUUGUAUCUUGGCAUGUAUUAUUCUUUUGCUGAGUGUCUAGAAUCCCACCGGGAGGAGCUCAUCUGUACACAAGCACGCUUCUCCCUCUUCAUCUGCCCAGGAUGUUAGCACAUGAAGGAAGAGAGCAUUUGCCACUUAGAAGGAAUGUAUUGAAACUGAUGUGGUCAUUGGCUGCCUAUCUUGGCAGUCAUUUCAUAAGACAGGCAACAUUGAAAUUUUGGAGAAUGGGAGGAGACAAUGAUAGUGUUAAUGCACUAGCUUAUAAACCCGAAUGAACAUCUGAGAUGCAUAAAGAUUUCCUUUUUUAAUAUGGAGUCCUGAGACCAAAUCCACACAUCUCAAACAGGCUCAGGAGCCAGCACAGAGUCCUAUUGAGAUGGGUCAGGUGGUACCGCUCAGCAAUGGAGGAAGAAAGCUAAUUUGUCAAAGGGUAACCUGAAACCACUGAGAAACUGAAGUAAAGAGGAGCCUGGAUUGGUUCAUAGAAUUUAAAGAUUACCCCAUGCUUUCUUCUUGGGCUACGGAAUAAAAACUGUUCUAGUUUAUAAUUA